This 358-nucleotide unclassified non-coding RNA is filed under the name soil metagenome. Its description in RNAcentral is "partial contains 5.8S ribosomal RNA, internal transcribed spacer 2, and large subunit ribosomal RNA". The stretch from base 1 to 120 matches the Rfam family "5.8S ribosomal RNA", at positions 35 to 154 of the family's 154-position model. The record is from RNAcentral.
GAUGAAGAACGUAGCGAAAUGCGAUAAGUAAUGUGAAUUGCAGAAUUCAGUGAAUCAUCGAAUCUUUGAACGCACAUUGCGCCCGUCAGUAUUCUGGCGGGCAUACCUGUUCGAGCGUCAUUACGCCCCUCAAGUCCCCUGUGGACUUGGUGUUGGGGAUCGGCGAGGCUGGUUUUCCAGCACAGCCGUCCCUUAAAUUAAUUGGCGGUCUCGCCGUGGCCCUCCUCUGCGCAGUAGUAAAACACUCGCAACAGGAGCCCGGCGCGGUCCACUGCCGUAAAACCCCCCAACUUUUUAUAGUUGACCUCGAAUCAGGUAGGACUACCCGCUGAACUUAAGCAUAUCAAUAAGCGGAGGA